RNAcentral lists this long non-coding RNA (2743 nucleotides) under Olea europaea subsp. europaea. Lineage: Eukaryota; Viridiplantae; Streptophyta; Magnoliopsida; Lamiales; Oleaceae. The record is from RNAcentral.
UUGGAAGAUCACAUUGCCGUGUUCAAGGGAAUAGUUGCAGAUCUGGAGACGUUGGAAGUUAAGUACGAUGAAGAGGAUCUUGCCUUGAUCCUGUUGUGUUCGCUGCAUGAGUCUUAUACGUCGUUUCGGGAUACUAUCUUGUAAAGUCAAGAUACUUUGACUAUAGAAGAUGUCUAUGAUGCUUUGCACUCAAAGGAGAAAAUGAAGCAUUUAGUUGGAGCUACAUCAAGGGAUAAGGAAGCUCUUAUAUCUCACGAUGGUCGACGAAGAGGCAGAUCGAGAGUUAGAUUUAGCAACGUGACCUGUUACUACUGCAAAAUAAAGGGACAUAUUCGGAAGGAUUGUGAUAUAUUGCAGGCUAAAGGUGAUUUAGCUGCAAAUCGUGGAGUAUAACCUUUGAAUUCAGAGGAAACCAAUGUAGUUGAGAAUUGUUCAGAUAGCGAAAAGGUGAUGUUGAUCGUGGAAUCUGAUGUGGAGUCUAGACCUAACGAGGAGUGGAUUCUUGAUUCAACAUGUUCACACCAUAUGUGUUCUGAUAGGAAUUUAUUUCAGACAUAUAAGGUUGUUCAGCAAGGUGGAGUUGUAUGGGAAACAACCAAUCUUACCGUAUUGUUAGGAUUGGUCAAGUCAGUUUGAGGCUGCGAGAUGGAACAUUUAGAACAAUUGAUCAAGUUUGACGUGUUCCUGACCUAAAAAGAAAUCCCAUUUCGCUAAGUACCUUAUAUGCAAAAGGGUAUAAAUUCUCUGGAGGAGAUGGAGUCUUGAAGGUCCAAAAGGGAGUCCGAGUUGUACUAGAGAGGCGGAAAAGAUCCCAAUUGUACAUUUGUAGGGAAGUGCAAAACCAAUUAAAAGGAGACAUUUGGACAAGUUUAGUACCGUGGUGGAAGUUCAGUUUGGUAUAGUGUCUCUUGUGUUGGGCACUGAGUAGAUUCAAAACGCUGCUAGGGAGAGCGCUGGUGAUUUCGCUUUGCUACCAAUUUCAGCGAGUACGCUGUGUCAGUUGCUGAGGUAGGACUUAUCGAGUGUAAGUACCAUGGUGUUAGCAAUGUUCGGAAUGCUUUUAGGGACGUUGAAGGCGACAGUUCCAGCAAGGGGCCUUCUGAUCAAGCAUCUAGUUUGGUUCUUGCUAUAGGGUGUGCUUCGACCCUGUGUGAUCAACAUUAAUUCCUUGGUGGAAUUGGGAACCUUGGGGAUUGGAUUCGGGUGUCGGUUGUGGACGCUGAGCAGAGGACAAGUGUUUGAUUUAUAUGGAGUGUUUACUGUGUUGAGGAGAUUCGACCAGUUAAUUUUGAUACAGAUGAAUUUGAAAUCUAGGAGUUUCGUUCGUAACACCAAAAUUUGAGUCCAGAUGGAGAUUGUUAGGAGUAUGACUCAAAUAAAAGUAUUUUGAAGAGGCGUAUUCGACUUGAACUAUGAGAAUAUUAACCUAGGGUUUAAGGAAACUAAGUUGAAUAAGGAAACAAGAUCAUGUUGAAAUUGGGUCUCCUAAUUGUAAUAUAUUUUCUUGCCUUUUAGGAUUCUUCUAGGGUUGGCCUAUAAAUACGAGGCUCUUCUGGUCAGUUUGUAGAGAGUAACAUAGAAGCAGUAUUGCUAGUGUGUCUUGUAUUUUCCCCACUGUUGAAUUAAUAAAUAUCGUUCCUUUGCGUUUACCCUUUGUGUUCUUUCUUUACAAAUUCAAUCUUGUAUUUUCGUGGUGUGGCCUAGUAUAUUUCAAAAUUGUCAUUAAAUCUCUUUCUUUAUAAUCCGGUUUGAAAUCAACGUGUAUUAUUGGAGCUUUUGCGCCCAACAAGAUGUUCUUCUUAAUUUUCUAAUCUUAUUUGUUUCUAUUGUUCAAUUGGCAACUGCCGAUGUGAUGUUUUGCCUUGAUUCUUAGUUUUCUGCUCAGAAUUUUGAUUGUUAUGUCAAACUUUUAUGGGUACCUUGCAAAUUAACUUAGUACAAGAAUUGCUUGAAGGUUUAUUCAACGGGUACUAUUUUGAUUAUGUUCUUGCAAGUUCAGUAAGUAUGGAUUUUCUUUAGAAGGUCUAUAAUUGAAGUCCAGGUUUAGUUUUUGAAUGUUACCAUUUUACUUUCUUAGUUCUAUAACUUCUAUCUUUGAGAUGCAAAUGAUUGACUUAUACAUGAUUGAAAACACUAAAAAAUAUGAUAAAAAUGAAACAAAAUGAAUGUUUCAAAGGUCUUGAAAUAAAGACCUGUCAUUAAUUUUUUACAUGAGAUAUUUUUAUCAUACAUUGAUAUGGUUGGGACUGCAUAUUUUUUUUUUUGAUGUAUGUGAACAGGUGAAGGAGAUGGGUGGAAGUAGUAAACCUUCAGAUCUAAUAAAGGGAUACAAGCAAUUAGUAGAGAGGAAGAAAGGGUUUGUUGAUUGGGCAAACUUGAUAAACAAUCAUGCAGUAACUCAAGAAAAAAACGAGGGGAAGUUUACUCAGGAAGAAGUAAAAUAAAAAAAACAAAAAAAAAAACACCUGCAUGUAUAGACUUCAAGAUUUAUGUUCGUCACUUGGUCUUUCGAGGAUAAAUGCAAGUUUAGUGUUUUUGAGGGAAGGUUGUGAUAGUAUGUGGCAUGGCUCUCAAAUUUUUUUAUCAUAUUUUUUAUUUGCUUGUUUAAUCAUGUGGCUUUAACAAAUACUAGUAAAGAGUUGCCUAUACAGUAAUACUUAUUUAUUAAAUUGGUUACCAAACAAGUAAUCCGAAAAAUGUACAGCAAUUAAGACCUUCCAAUAACGAAAUUAAGUUUGCACAU